AAUGAACGCUGGCGGUAGGCUUAACACAUGCAAGUCGGACGGAAACGACAAAGACAAUCACUUCGGUGUGCGACUUUGGGCGUCGAGUGGCGGACGGGUGAGUAACGCGUGGGAAUCUACCCUGUAGUUGGGGACAACAUAUGGAAACGUAUGCUAAUACCGAAUAUGCUCUACGGAGUAAAGGUGCCCUCUCCUUGGAAGGUAUCGCUAUAGGAUGAGCCCGCGUAAGAUUAGCUAGUUGGUAGGUAAUGGCUUACCAAGGCGACGAUCUUUAGCCGGUUUGAGAGGAUGAUCAGCCACACUGGGACUGAGACACGGCCCAGACUCCUACGGGAGGCAGCAGUGGGGAAUAUUGCACAAUGGGGGAAGCCCUGAUGCAGCCAUACCGCGUGUGUGAAGAAGGCCCGAGGGUUGUAAAGCACUUUCAAUUGUGAGGAAGGUAGUGUAGUUAAUACCUGCAUUGAUUGACGUUACUUUAGAAGAAGCACCGGCUAACUCUGUGCCAGCAGCCGCGGUAAUACAGAGGGUGCAAGCGUUAUUCGGAAUUACCGGGCGUAAAGCGCGCGUAGGCGGAAUAUUAAGUCAGUUGUGAAAGCCCUGGGCUCAACCUGGGAACUGCAUCUGAUACUGGUAUUCUAGAGUUUGGUAGAGAAAGUGGAAUUCCUAGUGUACAGUGAAAUGCGUAAUUUUAGGAAGGAACAUCUAGUGG
This 709-nucleotide ribosomal RNA is filed under the name uncultured bacterium. RNAcentral's name for it is "bacterial SSU rRNA". It matches the Rfam family "Bacterial small subunit ribosomal RNA", at positions 28 to 716 of the family's 1533-position model. The record is from RNAcentral.